CUGCGCUGACAGGAGCGGGCGGGGGCGGACCUUGCGGAAGUAAAACCAGAAGGAAGUGCUUUCUGGAGAACAAUCCUGGUAUUCCAAUGCUGAGCUUGGAUGGAGCUAUUUCAGCACUUCCUUCUGCCUGAGCUCACCUCCACUGUGAGCUGCUGAGGGUUCCUGCAGCCGUGGAAGCAAUGUGCAGACAAGAAUCUCACAA
RNAcentral lists this long non-coding RNA (202 nucleotides) under Gallus gallus (chicken). RNAcentral describes it as "long non-coding RNA NONGGAT009131". The record is from RNAcentral. Lineage: Eukaryota; Metazoa; Chordata; Aves; Galliformes; Phasianidae.